AUUGAACGCUGGCGGCAUGCCUUACACAUGCAAGUCGAACGGCAGCACGGGUGCUUGCACCUGGUGGCGAGUGGCGAACGGGUGAGUAAUACAUCGGAACGUACCUUAUCGCGGGGGAUAACGCAGCGAAAGCUGUGCUAAUACCGCAUACGCCCUGAGGGGGAAAGCGGGGGAUCGCAAGACCUCGCGCGAUUAGAGCGGCCGAUGCCUGAUUAGCUUGUUGGUGGGGUAAAAGCCCACCAAGGCGACGAUCAGUAGCUGGUCUGAGAGGACGAACAGCCACACGGGGACUGAGACACGGCCCAGACUCCUACGGGAGGCAGCAGUGGGGAAUUUUGGACAAUGGGGGCAACCCUGAUCCAGCAAUGCCGCGUGAGUGAAGAAGGCCUUCGGGUUGUAAAGCUCUUUUGUCAGGGAAGAAACACCGGCUCUAACACAGUCCGGGAAUGACGGUACCUGAAGAAUAAGCACCGGCUAACUACGUGCCAGCCGCCGCGGUAA
RNAcentral lists this ribosomal RNA (501 nucleotides) under uncultured bacterium. RNAcentral describes it as "partial 16S ribosomal RNA". It matches the Rfam family "Bacterial small subunit ribosomal RNA", at positions 29 to 523 of the family's 1533-position model. The record is from RNAcentral.